CCGAGUUCUCGAGCUUCGGCUCGACUCUCCCACCCUUUGUGAACAUACCUCUGUUGCUUUGGCGGCUCUCGGGGCCUCGCGGCCUCGCGUCCGCCAGAGGACCUUCAAACUCCAGUCAGUAAACGUCGACGUCUGAUAAACAAGUUAAUAAACUA
This 155-nucleotide unclassified non-coding RNA is filed under the name uncultured Ascomycota. RNAcentral describes it as "sequence contains ITS1". Lineage: Eukaryota; Fungi; Ascomycota. The record is from RNAcentral.